Molecule: long non-coding RNA, 1039 nt
Organism: Hordeum vulgare subsp. vulgare (domesticated barley)
Lineage: Eukaryota; Viridiplantae; Streptophyta; Magnoliopsida; Poales; Poaceae
Exons: 5
Source: RefSeq, a predicted model, not a curated record
UCGCCUCUGCUUCUGUCUGCCUUCUUCCGCCUCUUUUGGUCCUGCUGUCUUCUUCCGCCUCUGCUUCUGCUGCUGCUGGGGGUCGCCUCUGCUUCUGUCUGCCUGACCGGCGUCCUUGGUUUCCUCCAGAGCCCCCGCCUGCUGCUGCUGGGAUAGACUAAAUGCAGUAGGUUAACUGAUCUGGUCCUGUGGCUGGUCAAAUUGUACCAUGAGUAGUCAAAUUAUACCACUUUGGAAUUUCUCAUCUCACCAAUGAGUGUGUCUCCAAGGUUUUCUGCCACAAGAAGAUGAUGCAAGCUUCCGGAUAUUUUUUUUCAAAAAGAGGUACAACAAACUUAAGGGUUCUUCCAUCCAUCUCAGCACUAUUUUAGCUAAUCCUGCAACAAAAAUGCUAAAACAUCCAUCAGUUUUAAUUUAGGUUCAGAGUAUACAACAACAACCAACAAACGUUCAGAGUAUACAACAACAACCAACAAACAACAACCAAGCCUUGUUUGUUGGUUGUUGUUGUAUACUCUGAACCUAAAUUAAAACUGAUGGAUGUUUUAGCAUUUGUGUUGCAGGAUUAGCUAAAAUAGUGCUGAGAUGGAUGUUUUAGCUAAAUUUAGGUUCAGAGUAUGCUAAAACAUAUUUUAGCGGGACAGCUUCAGUUCAGGUUCAUGCAAGAGGACAGCUUUUAACCGAAAUUCGUUGGUGUAAUUUCAGUUAAUUGGAAAGAACAACUCUGCAAGUUAAUUGGAAAGAACAGGAGGACAUAAUUUAUAUGGAAAACUUCUCCUUCUAAGGCAGAUAUUAAUAUUCUUCAAUCCAUAGAAUAUGCCUUCUUUAGCAUCAUAAGCCUCUAAAGAGCACUCGAGCGUACCCUACAUCAUCACGGCUCCUCUUGUACUACAUGGGCUUAUGGUGAUAUUAUGAAAGGUCGCAUCAAAUACUAUCUGAGGCACAUCACAGGUGAAGUCGGCGAGUGUACGAUGUGUGCCAGGACUUGGACAAGUAUUGCUUUUGAUAUUAAUGGGAAAGACAAUGGAGGCUACUUUGC